GGUAAGCAACAUCAAUCAACUAUCAUUUACUCCUCAGCUACUUGCUGUUGUUCUUAAGAUUGCAUUAGCCUAAAAAAUUCUUCAAGAAAUUGAAAUUUACGAAAUUUACGAAAUUUUUUUAUAUUUGAUUUUAGGGUUUAUUUUGGGAAAUAAAAAUUUACGAAAUUGUAACACUAACAUAUAUAUAUACUCUGAUUGUGUGUAUGCAAGUUUAUGUUAGUUAUCUUACACAAUCAGUUAAAAAUUAACACAUAUUUAAUUUAAUAAAAUUUAAAAAUAAUUCGGUUUUUCGGUUCGGUUUUUCGGUUCAGUUAAAUGAACCGAAUACCGAACCGACAUUUCGGUUUUUUUAUAAAUUGUACCGUUCGGUUUUUU
This 375-nucleotide long non-coding RNA is filed under the name Citrus sinensis (sweet orange). RNAcentral describes it as "long non-coding RNA (CSIN_LNC005152)". Lineage: Eukaryota; Viridiplantae; Streptophyta; Magnoliopsida; Sapindales; Rutaceae. The record is from RNAcentral.